Candidatus Thioglobus autotrophicus is the source of this 347-nucleotide non-coding RNA. It matches the Rfam family "transfer-messenger RNA". Rfam says of the family: Bacterial tmRNA, also known as 10Sa RNA or SsrA, is named for its dual tRNA and mRNA-like properties. Lineage: Bacteria; Pseudomonadati; Pseudomonadota; Gammaproteobacteria; Pseudothioglobaceae (SeqCode). The record is from Rfam.
GGGGAUGACAUGGCUUCGACGAGGAGUUGGAUCUCAAGGACGCAUGCCGAGGAUAAAGAUAACUCGUAAAAAUAUGCUUUAAAAAUAUAGUUGCAAACGAAAACAACUACGCUCUAGCUGCAUAGCUAGCCGCUCCCUUGAGGUUGUCUGUACUUCUUGGGUAGCGGUCGCUCACAGACUCGCUAGGAUUAUUUGUUCCAAAUGAUUCGGUUAAAACUUUCGGAAAUCGCUUUGCAGAUCCCUGAUGGUCGGGUGCUGCGCGGCUAACUCAAGUUGACCAAGCUAAGCAUGUAGACUCUUUGUUUGAAGGUUUUCGGACGCGGGUUCGAUCCCCGCCAUCUCCACCA